This 279-nucleotide ribosomal RNA is filed under the name uncultured bacterium. Its description in RNAcentral is "partial 16S ribosomal RNA". It matches the Rfam family "Bacterial small subunit ribosomal RNA", at positions 506 to 784 of the family's 1533-position model. The record is from RNAcentral.
UGCCAGCAGCCGCGGUAAUACGGAGGGGGUUAGCGUUGUUCGGAAUUACUGGGCGUAAAGCGCAUGUAGGCGGAACAGAAAGUUAGAAGUGAAAUCCCUGGGCUCAACCUAGGAAUUGCUUUUAAAACUUCUGUUCUGGAAUUAAGGAGAGGAAAAUGGAAUAUCCAGUGUAGAGGUGAAAUUCGUAGAUAUUGGAUGGAACACCAGUGGCGAAGGCGAUUUUCUGGACUUAUAUUGACGCUGAGAGGCGAAAGCUAGGGGAGCAAAAGGGAUUAGAUA